UUUUUUUAAAGUCUGAUCUGCUCACUGAAGUUUAAAGAGCCGCGGUAUUUUGACCGUGCAAAGGUAGCAUAAUAAUUAGGUUCUUAAUUAGGAUCUGGUAUGAAUGAUUUGACGAGAAGGGUGCUGUCUCUUUUUAAUUUAUCUGAAUUUAACUUUUGAGUUAAAAGGCUCAAAUUUUUUUAAAAGACGAGAAGACCCUAUAGAGUUUUAUUAAAAGGUUUUUUGUACAUUUUUGGUAUUUAUAUUGUUAAUUUAUUUUUUAAUUUAGUUGGGGUGACUAAAAAAUUUAAUUAACUUUUUUUUUAUUUAAACAUUAAUUUAUGAGAGAAUGAUCCAUUUUUUAUGAUUAGAAGAAAAAAUUACCUUAGGGAUAACAGCGUAAUUCUUUUUGAGAGU
RNAcentral lists this ribosomal RNA (396 nucleotides) under Trogoderma fasciferum. RNAcentral's name for it is "partial 16S ribosomal RNA". Lineage: Eukaryota; Metazoa; Arthropoda; Insecta; Coleoptera; Dermestidae. The record is from RNAcentral.